RNAcentral lists this long non-coding RNA (10631 nucleotides) under Coffea arabica (coffee). RNAcentral's name for it is "long non-coding RNA (CARA_LNC007911)". Lineage: Eukaryota; Viridiplantae; Streptophyta; Magnoliopsida; Gentianales; Rubiaceae. The record is from RNAcentral.
AAUUGCAACUUUGAUGCCAAAGGCCAAGGCCACUGUCAAACAGGUGACUGCAAAGGGCGCCUCGAGUGCCAAGGCUAUGGAAGUCCUCCAAAUACGAUAGCUGAAUUCUCCCUAAACCAGCCUAACAACUUAGACUACAUCGACAUCUCCAACAUUGAUGGAUUCAACAUCCCAAUGGAGUUCAGCUCUGUAACUCCGUGCCGCGUUAUCAAAUGUUCAGCACCUAUUGUUGAUAAGAACUCCAGGUGGAUGCAACAGCCCCUGCACUGUUUUUAAAAGAAAUGAGUACUGCUGCACCAAUGGCCCAGGAAGCUGUGGCCCGACCGACUUCUCCAGGUUCUUUAAGAGCAGGUGCCCUGAUGCUUAUAGCUAUCCUCAAGAUGAUCGCACAAGCUUGUUUACUUGCCCAAGUGUUACAAAUUAUAGGGUUGUCUUCUGCCCUUAAAGAAAUCCAGAUAUUUAAGGUUCUUGUGACAGCUUAUAUGCUCCAAGAACUUCACUAGAAAAAUAAAUUAUGAAGAAAUAAACGCAUAUGUGAUCCUUCUGGCAAUGGUUCACUGGAAUUGGAAUAAAUUUGAGCACAUAUAGCAUUGUGCGAUUUGUCUUCUUUAUCAGCUUUUUGGCUCUUUAAACAACUUAUGAACUAGAUCACGAGUUCAAAACUAAUGAAGUUUUACUAAAUUAAUCUGUAAGAAGGAUUUACAGAUCUCUAGUUUUAAAAUAGACUGUCAAAAUACUUUGUUCCCCGCACUUCAAAAAUUUGAGUCAUGUUUAGGUUUAACUUACAUAGGAGUAUUCAUUUGUUCUUUUUUUUUUUGGAAUUCAGACUAUCUCUCCAGUCAAAUACUAAGAUGUCAUAUAAAUGAAAAUAAUUGUUUUAAGUGUACUACACAAUCAUACUUUAUGUAUAUAAAUGUUACCACGAAAUCCAGAGUAAGAGAAGUUUGUCUUACAAAUAUUGAAGAAAUGGGAGCUUGGUGUAAAUUCAAAACAAAAAUGGGGAUUUCCAUACUAAGGUAAACCCCAAAACAAUUGAAAAUGAUCAUCUCAUGAAAUAACAAAGAUGGUGAUAUGAAAGUUUACUAAGUAAGAUAAAGGUGCGAUUAAGGAGCUCAAGUGAUGAGGAAACUCGUAGAUGCCAAAUUGAUAAUUUGAUGCACUCAUGCUAAAUAGUACUAAUUCACUCCUAAAAGCUGGAUUUGGAGCCACUGCUAGCAGUUCCAUGAAGUUCAGUUCGAUUGUUAUAUUUAUUACGUUAUAUUGUUAUGCUCUUGGAAAAAGUAAUAUGCAUGAACGAAAAUACUUGGUAUGUAAUGAAUACAACAUUAUCAUGUAGUUGUCUACCAAAAAUUUAAAUAUACACAAUAAAAUAAUGCAUAUCUAUUCAAAUUAUGUAUCAGAAAAGAGUUAAAUGUUACUAUAAGGAUAAAAAAUUAAGUGAUUAUAUAUUUGUUUUGAACUAUAUUUUUAGGAAAAUCAUAAUAUAGCAUCUUAUUAAUAACUGCUUUUGUGAUAUUAAAAGAUGUUAGAAAUAAUUCCUGAAAUUAAUCUGGUUAAAAAACGCUCCAUUCAAACAGAAAAUUCAUGUCUUUUUUUUUUUUUUUUUUUUCCUUUUUUCUCUUACGUAGAGGUAAUCCACAAAUUGGACACUUACGAAAAAGCAUUGGAACAUUGAUUGAAAGAACAAUCAAGUUCACAUGAUCAGAUUAAUAGAACAAAAUGAGGGAUGAGAACUGACUGAAAUUAUGCAGGAGGAUUAUGGACAGAUCCGCAUCUUUUGAAUCAUUCCUAGGAUACAAAACAAGACCAUCAACAUCCCUAAAAUUUCUUAUAUAGAAAUUUGUUGAAAUAUCUACACGAACAUGCAAAAUCAUAGCAGCCAAUUCACCUAUAUAAACCCCCUGGCUGUGGCAUCUCCAAACCACAACAGCUACUAGUUGACUUAGAAGGUUUGAAGCACCAUGAAUUUCACCUACACUUUGUCCCUUUUGGUUUUGUGCCUAGCUUUAUACUUAAGCUUCACCAAUAGCUGCAAAUUUCAACAUUAAGAAAAUAAACACAUAAAACAAUUAAACCUUUACCAUGUAUUCUCUUUUACUUAUUGAUCAGUCAUAUCAUGAAAUAGAAAAGGGUUGUAGAAUUACUUAUAGAAAUAUAUUCUAGGGUAAUGAUAUAUAUUCCAUAUGAUUGAUGAGAAACGAAAAUGACUUGCCUGCCUUUCUUCAUCAGAAGAGUACCUAAUAGCCCCACUAGAAUUGCCAGUACAUAUAAGAAAUAAGAUGCUGUAAAACCAAAAAGAGCAGUGCAGCCACCGUUGGCUUCUAAAUAUCAGCAUAGUGAUUGUUAUGGCUAGAACAACUAACCACCCAAAAGCAUGUUUUAACUUUUCCCUAAAGUUGUGACUUAAAUGUUCAACAUGACAACAGGGUUUUCAUUUCAAUUGUUCUAAAUGCAAGAUCGAGCUGUAAUAUAUUUUUUUCCUUUUAUUUAAUGUAAGUGAAAGCAUUCAAAUUUACGACCUCGUACUUGCACUCUCUUCCCCUGAACUAUCCAACCGAUCCCAUCCCCUGAGCUGUAUUUAUAUUGACUUGUCUUGUCAUAUUAAUUAAUAUCUUUUAGCGUUGGAAAGGAAAUACAAAAAGUUUAAACAAUAGUGAUAAUUGAGUAAUUUUUCUGAGAUCUGAAUUGCAAAGUGCAAUACCUUGAAGGUGUAAAUUGACCUACGUACCCACAAGGUGUAAAUUGACCUACGUACCCACCUUCCAUCUUUUCCUACUGCUGGACAAAUAAAAUAAUAUUUCUUUGCUCAAUAUAAUAGUGGAAUUGGUAAGAAUUAGAAGAGUAUUUCUAUUUCUAGUCAAAGAAAAUUGAACAAAUUUGACAAAUUUCAGUUUAAAAAUAUUGGACAAAUUAUCGCUGCCCAAUACGGGCCCAGUCCAUCUAAAGCACACUUGAAGCAUAGAGCAGAUUGAUUUGGUUGUUUCCAGUUGGGCUUCCGGUCCUUGAUCCGUGUCUAUUAACGAAGUUGUAUUGUCAAUAUUGGGUCGUAUAAUCCACCAGCCCAUGGAAUUUAAUUUACAAAAAUAAAUUUCUUUUAAGUUGUGAAUUUAAUUAGUAGAACGAGAAACAAUUCAGAAAAUUAGUAUAAAGUACAAACCAUAUAGUACAUGUUUUUCUCAAUAAAAUACCAAUUAUGACUAGCUUAAGGAAUUGAUAAAUAAAUAACCUUUGUUCAGCUUUUCCUUUUGGGUGAUUCCCAUUAAUAAAAUCAUCUUUGUUCUCUCAAAAAAAAAAAAAAAAAAGAAAGAAAGAAAGAAACGAACUCCAUCCUUUUAAGUGGUAAAUAAAAUGAAUACAAAGAAAAAUAUAAAUAAAUAUCUUAACACUGCAAAAAAGAAAUUGAUAUUGAAACAUACUGAUAUUUAAGAAGUUUUAUAAAUUUUGGCAUCACCUACAGAUAAAAUGAUAUCUCUGUAAUGUGCCUUUUAUUUACUAUAAAAAAAAAAAAUACGUUACAGAGGUUCCAGUGGCAAAGGUAGAAAUACUUUUCAGUUGGGGCACGAAUUAACUUUCGCAAUUUUUUCCAAUUUACAAGUGGCCAAUAAUAACAAAAGAUUAUUUUUUUUUAAAAUGAUCAAAUCUAAUAGACUUGAUAAACUACCACUGCUUUGUUGAUGAAAAAUACAAAGUUAUGGACCAAGGCAAAGUAAAUAUGCAAGCAAAAGUACGUUGGAACUCGGCAUCUAAAGAUUUGCAGCUAUUUGCUUUCUUCUUUGGUUUACUUUUUGAUAAAUUACAAUAAUGACUAUGCUAUAUAAUAACUAUUACAAAAUCCAGCCAAGGCACAAUUUAGAAUUUUCAAGAAAUCUCAAAACUAUUCUAGGUACCUCUUUUAGGUCAAUAGGGACACGUGCCCUACUGGCCACAACGUAAAUCUACUCUUUUUUUUUAGGUAAAAAAAAAAAAAAAUUGGUUGAAUUUGACUUCGAUCAUUAUCACAAGUCAAAACCUGUUUUCGGAACUGUAAGUCGCUUACACAAGUUCUUACAGAUCACCCAUUUUUUUAGUAAAAAAAAAAAUAAAGUUUGGUUGAAUUUGACUUCGAUCAUCAUCACAGGUCAAAACCUGUCUUCAGAACUAUAAGUCGCUUACAGAAGUUCUUACAGAUCACCCAACAACAGAGAUCUCACAAUGUAAAUCUACUUAUAGGUUCUUAGUUCGACGAUCUUAAGCUUUCCUUUGCCAUAAUAAAGCAUGAACUACAUUUAAACUGCACUCCUUACACUGGGCACAAGUUGCAGUAAAUGAAUUAUGAUUGAAUAUGAAUUUAGCAUUUCAGGCUUUUAGCAACCACAAAUGCUAUUCUGGAAAGUUGCCAAAACUAAAGUUUAAGCACAAAAAACUGCUUGAACACUUCACGAAACGGCCCAAAUUGGGCUUUUAAUUUUUUUUUUUUUUUGUCCAAUUACUUGAGUAAGCUCCACGAAAUCCUGGACUAGAAACUCUUGUUCUACUUGACAUCCUUAUUGAAUUGUCUAAGCUUCUUGAAGCCAUUUGCCUAACAUUCGCUGGUCUCAGACAAACAGACGUAUGGUCUUGAUUUGUGCCCAUUCGGCUGCACCAAAAUCCUGUUGAAACUCUAGACUAAGAGGAAAAUUCCAAAGAAAAAAAAAAUGAAAACAGAAGACUUUAGGAGUUAUGAAAUUGGCAUUAGUCUCCUUGGGUGUGGAAUUUGAAAUCAUCAUCAAUACUAACAUGUUGAUAUUGACUACCCCAUAACAGAAAGUUAUCGCGAAAAUAAUUAGAUGCUAAUACCAAACGUUUUAAUCUCUAACCAUCAUUUCUUAUGUUAAACAUAGGUUUUAGCGUAGCUAAUCAAUAUAUGUACAAUUGCUAAUUUUUUCCACUAAUUAAGUCAAAAGAUAAUUGUUUUGAACGGUGUUUUCGCGAAAAUUCCAAUAAAAUAUUUUGUUAAUAAACACAUUUGAUAUUUUCAGAGAUGUUAGAUAGUGAUUCCUGAAAACAGUGAGGUUGAAAAAACAAUUCAACCAAACAGAUAAGCCAUGUCUGUUUCUUUUUUCUAUCUUAGAGAAAAUCCACGAAUUGGACACUAAAGAAAAGAAAUUGUAACAUUGAUAUAUAGAACAGUCAAGUUCACAUCACCAGAAGAAUAAAAAAUGGGGGAUGAGAUUAUGCAGAAGGAUUAUGGACGGAUAAGCAUCUUUGAAUCAUUCCUAGAAUACAAGAAAGGGCCAUCAACAUCUCUGAAAUUUCUCAUGUAGAAAAUUUGUUAAGAAGAUUAACAUGUACACGCAAAAUGAUAGCAGACAAUCGCCCUAUAUAAACCCCCUACCUGUGGCAUCUUGAAACCACAACCAGCUACCAGUUCACUUUGAAAGUUUGAAACACCAUGAAGUCCACCUACACUUUGUCCCUUUUGGCUUUAUGCCUAACUUUAUACUUAACCUUCACCAAUGCUGCAAAUUUCAACAUUGUAAACCAAUGUACCUACACAGUUUGGGCAGCUGCUUCCCCAGGCGGUGGCAGGAGGCUCGACCGAGGCCAAUCAUGGUCCCUAAACGUGGCUCCUGGCACCACCCAAGCUCGCAUUUGGGGCCGAACCAAUUGCAACUUUGAUGCCAAUGGCCAAGGCCACUGUCAAACAGGUGACUGCAACGGGCGCCUCGAGUGCCAAGGCUAUGGAAGUCCACCGAAUACGCUAGCUGAGUUCGCCCUAAACCAGCCUAACAACUUAGACUACAUCGACAUUUCCAACGUUGAUGGAUUUAACAUCCCAUUGGAGUUCAGCUCCGUUACCAAUUGCCGUGACAUCAGAUGUUCAGCUCCUAUUGUUGAUCAAUGCCCAGCUCAGCUAAGAACUCCAGGUGGAUGCAACAAUCCCUGCACUGUUUUUCACACAAAUGAGUACUGUUGCACCGAUGGCCCAGGAAGCUGUCACCCGACCGACUUCUCCAGGUUCUUCAAGGACAGGUGCCCUGAUGCUUAUAGCUAUCCUCAAGAUGAUCCCACAAGCUUGUUUACUUGCCCAAGUGGUACAAAUUAUAGGGUUGUCUUCUGCCCUUAAAGAAAUCCAGAUAUUUAAGAAAAGUAGAUUAUGAAGAAAUAAACGCAUAUGAGACCCUUCUUGUAAUGGUUCACUGAAAUUGGAAUAAAUUUGAGCACAUAUAGCAUUGUGCGGUUUGUCUUCGUUAUCAGCUUUUUGGCUCUUUAAACUACUUAUGAACUACAUCACUGCUUACUAAAUUAAUCUGUAAGAUGGAUUUACACAUCCCUUGCUCUGACCCCUUCUUGCAUUUCUUCAAUUUCAAAAUUGAGUUACCAUGUUAAUUAGAAAACACAGUGUACAUGGAUUUGAGUGGUUUUAUUAUCCAUUACGAUUUGUAAUAAAAGAUCCUGGAGAAAAAACAAAAUAACAUCAACGCAGACAAAAAAAGUUAUACAAUAAAAUUUUUUAAAAAAAGUAAAAAGUUCUUUUACCCCAUCUAACUUAGCCAUAUAAGAAAAGAAGCUACAAAGUUCAGGAGCAGCCAAGAAUACAUCCACUUUGCAAACAAUUGAUUCGUUUCCUUUUCUUCCACCUUUCAUACUCCUUUCUGUUUUCCUUUCUCUUUUCUUCAAGUAUCAUCCAUGAAUCAGUUCCAGCAAUUUGAGGUAACAAUAAAAUCUAGGCUGUUCGGUGUCAUGGUUCAAUGGAUCUGAUACCACAUCUUGGACGGGUACAAGCUUUGCCCGUCCUCCAUACUACUCUGGCAAAGUUUCUUCGCCUAUGUCCUGGAUAAAACCCCUCCUUUCCUCUUCGUUAAUCACGAUCUUAAUCUGUGUCUAUCAUUUAAAAGUUGCUAGUUAAGUUCGAUUUUAGAAAACACAUGUAUUUCAGAAAAAAACAUGUUUACUCGAAAUUUUUGGAUUUGGAAAUCUAAACGCAAUUAUAUGCUACUUUCUGUACCCAUAAUCAAUGAAUAGAUAUUGAGCGAUGCUGUUAUAUGUUUCUGCAAUCAGACAAAUAUGAGCCACAAAUGGCUCAAAUUAAGUGAGAUCUUAGAAUCUUUGAAUUCAUAGAAACAAACACCGGAUCUUCAAUAACUGCUCUUCUGGUUGAUCACAUAAAGAGGCUAACUAUCUGCGUUCUGUAAUCGAUUAAGCAAUAGUACGAAUGGUUUUUUUUCAACUUAUUGGGAUCAUGAUGUGACUGGAAAGUUUUAUUUCUGUUGAAAAUUGAAUUAAUUAGCUUCAUACUCCUGCAGAACAAUAAUCUUCCAGUGGGAAAACAAGAUGGGAAGAAAUGGAAAGAAAAGAUCACUUUCUGUCGACUUCUACAAUCAAUAAAAAGCUCCAUUAAUUGAAAAAAAAAGAAGAAGAAGAAGAUGGAUCUUGUAUUGGUUCGUUGUCUUUAAGUAUUUCUGCACAAUAUUGUCUUGUUUUGACAAGUGAUAGUCGCACAUAGAGGGCAGUCUCUUGCAAGCCUUUCAAAGCAAGAUACAAGAAAACAGAUAUGCUCGAACAGAGAACUUAAAUUGCAUUUGUUUACUUUGACAAGUUUAAUGGCUUCAUCCUACGUAUGGAUGGAAGCAGUACUUUAGUUAUCAUCUGCCUGCUAAUUUUAAGAAAGAUCUUUCAUAUGUUUAAAUUUGCAGAAAUGGUUGCAUAUCAGAAAUACCUUCUCAAGAGUUGCUUUCUCAAGGAAGUAUGAAACCAUCCUCCAUACACUCACAAAGAACCAGGGUAGAUGUACAAUAUAACACUUGGCUAAGCACUCAGGGUAGCAAGCCAACACAAAUAAGAGAUUCGAAUGUAAUAUCGUAACGAGAAAGAAUUGCACAACACCAAGGUGAAUAGUCAUUGUGUCACGGUAAAACAGAACAAGAAUCUUUCUUGAAUUUGAAUGUAGAAAGAUCUGAUCAUUGUCCUUUUCCAUGGAUCCGAAUUCUAUCUGACCUUAAGUUUAAAGAUCUCAGCCGAUAACCUUAAUGAUCCAUGGUUUGACACGAAAACCAUUUGCCAAUAAUGGUCCUAGAAUUACACUUAAAUUAGGGAUAUGAAGAACCUCACUUGUAAAAUUUAAUGGCAGCAAAGUAAUACUUUUUGAACAGCAUAGAAGUCUACUCGGAGAAACUCAAAUUCAACGGAUGUUUCUGCAUGCUGAUUGAAUUUUCUAAGCUUCAUGAAGUCAUUUGCCUAACUCUUGACUGGGAUCAGACUAGAGAAGGAAGACAAACAGGUGUAUGGUCUUGAUUUAUGCCCAUUCUGCAACUCCAAAAUCUGGUUGAAAUUCUAGACUAAGAGCAAGAAUAUUAAAAAAAAAAAAAAAAGUUACGAUAUUAUCAUUAGUCUCCCCAGUUGUGUGAUUUUGAAAUGAUCGUCACUACCAAAAUGUUGAGAUUGACUAGCGCAUAACAGAAAGUUAUCGCUAAAAUAAUUAGAAGCUAAUAUCAAAUGUUUUAAUCCCAGAUCAUCAUUUAUUAUUUUGAACAUAGAUUUCAUUAUGGCUAAUCAAUUUUUGUAUAAUUGCUAGUUCUUUCCACUGAUUAGGUCAUAAGAUAAUUGUUUUCCACAGUGUUUUUAGGAGAAUUGUAAUAUAAUAUUUUGUUAAUAUUAAGAAAUGUUAGAAAGUGAUUCCUGAAAACAGUGUGGUUGAAAAACACUCCACCCAAACGGAUAAUUCAUGUCUGUUUCUUUUUCUAUCUUAGACAGAGGUAAUAUUGGACACUAGAGGAAAGACAUGUAAGGUUGAUCUUUAAAACGGUCAAGUCUGACAUCACCCGAACAAUAAAAAAAGGGGUAAAAUACACUUUGGGCUCCUGUGAUUUAGCAUUUUUCACAUAAUCUCCUCCCGGUUUCAAAAGUUAUACAUAACUCUCUUAUAAUUUGGAUUAAAGUGUCAAAGUGAAGAAAUUUGCAUUUUAUAAUGGAAUCAACUAAAAUGUCAAAAGUACCCCUAUAUAAAAUUAAAUAUUAUUUAUUUAUCACAAGGGAUUAUGUAUAUAUUUUAAAAAUCAUAAUAGAGUUAUAUAGUAAAAUACUAAACCAUAAAGGAGUUACACGCUGAAACAUAAAAUCAUUUGUCAUUAGACUGUGAUACAUGUUAUGUUAUAUAUUUUGUCACUUCACCCAUUUUAGUUUUUAAACAAAGGUAAUUUAGACAUUUUUAUGGAUUCUAUUAUAAAUGAUCAUUUUUAUUAUUUUAACACUUUAAUUCAAAUUAUGAGGGAUUAUAUAUAGUUUUUAAAACUAUAGGUGGGUCAUAUGAAAAAUUACUAAGCCACAUGGUGAUAAAGUGUAUUUUGCCAAAUAAAAAAUGAGGGAUGAGAGCUGACUGAAAUCAUGCAAAAGGAUAACGGCUAGAUCAGCAUCUUUGAAUCAUUCCUAGCUAGUAUACAAGAUGACCAUCAAAAUCUCUGAAAUUUCUUACGUAGAAAAUUGGUGAAGAAGAUUAAGGUGUACACGCAAGUUAAUAGCAGCCAAUCACCCUACGUAAACCCCUAGCUGUGGCACCUUGAAAACACAAUAGCUACUAGUUCACUUGGAAAGUUAGAAACACCAUGAAGUUCAGCCACACCUUGUCCCUUUUGGUUUCGUGCUUCAUUUUAUACUUAACCUUCACCAAUGCUGCAAAUUUCAACAUUAUAAACCAAUGUACCUACACAGUUUGGGCAGCUGCUUCCCCAGGGGGUGGCAGGAGGCUCGACCGAGGCCAAUCAUGGUCCCUAGAUGUGGCUCCUGGCACCACCAACGCUCGGAUUUGGGGCCGAACAAAUUGCAACUUUGAUGCCAAUGGCCAAGGCCGGUGUCAGACAGGUGACUGCAACGGGCGCCUCGAAUGCCAAGGCUAUGGAAAGCCUCCGAAUACACUAGCUGAAUUCUAUGUUUUCAGAACCGGACCGGAUAGCGACUCGGCCGAGGUCAGGGGUCAGGGAUCAAUGGGUUCGACCGGAGGUCGAUAGGGGUCGAACCGGAUGACGUCAUAAAUAAAAAUUAUUUAAAAAUUAAAAUAUUAUAUAUAUAAUAUCUAAUAAUAUAUUGAUAUUAAUAAAGGUAUAUCUAUAUAUAUUUGAUGUUUCAAAUAUAUUUAACAAGAAAAUACAAAGAAAUUAGAACAAUCAAGUAGCAAUUUAUAUUAUUUAAUAAAUAUUAACAAGUUUAGAAUUAAAAUUAUGAAUUUAAUUGAAAAAUAACAUCAAAUUUUAGGACAAUAUUUAUAAAGUAUCAAAUAUUUGAGGUAUAUCAAUAAGUUUUAACAAUUUAGGGGGUCAAAACAUAAUAUUAAAAAGUUUAACUUUUUUUAAAAUAAAUUACUGUUAAACCGGAAAAAUCGGUUUUUUUCCGGUCAAACCCGAUUUUUGACCGGCUUUGACCGGAUUUUAAAUUUCCGGUUUUUUAAUGUGACUCGGAUCGGCUACCUGGCCGGUUCCCGGUUCGACCGGCCGGUCCGGUCCGAGUUUGAAAACAGAGGCUGAAUUCGCCCUAAACCAGCCUAACAACUUAGACUACUUCGACAUUUCCCUCCUUUAUGGUUUCAACAUCCCAUUGGAGUUCAGCUCCGUUACUCCUUGCCAUGAUAUAAGAUGUUCAGCACCUAUUGUCGAUCAAUGCCCAACUCAGCUAAGAACUCC